RNAcentral lists this ribosomal RNA (468 nucleotides) under uncultured bacterium. RNAcentral's name for it is "partial 16S ribosomal RNA". It matches the Rfam family "Bacterial small subunit ribosomal RNA", at positions 28 to 507 of the family's 1533-position model. The record is from RNAcentral.
GACGAACGCUGGCGGCGUGCUUAACACAUGCAAGUCGAACGGAAAGGCCCUGCUUUUGUGGGGUGCUCGAGUGGCGAACGGGUGAGUAACACGUGAGUAACCUGCCCUUGACUUUGGGAUAACUUCAGGAAACUGGGGCUAAUACCGGAUAGGAGCUCCUGCUGCAUGGUGGGGGUUGGAAAGUUUCGGCGGUUGGGGAUGGACUCGCGGCUUAUCAGCUUGUUGGUGGGGUAGUGGCUUACCAAGGCUUUGACGGGUAGCCGGCCUGAGAGGGUGACCGGCCACAUUGGGACUGAGAUACGGCCCAGACUCCUACGGGAGGCAGCAGUGGGGAAUAUUGCACAAUGGGCGGAAGCCUGAUGCAGCAACGCCGCGUGUGGGAUGACGGCCUUCGGGUUGUAAACCGCUUUCGCCUGUGACGAAGCGUGAGUGACGGUAAUGGGUAAAGAGGCACCGGCUAACUACGUG